GACGAACGCUGGCGGCGUGCUUAACACAUGCAAGUCGAACGGAAAGGCCCUGCUUUUGUGGGGUGCUCGAGUGGCGAACGGGUGAGUAACACGUGAGUAACCUGCCCUUGACUUUGGGAUAACUUCAGGAAACUGGGGCUAAUACCGGAUAGGAGCUCCUGCUGCAUGGUGGGGGUUGGAAAGUUUCGGCGGUUGGGGAUGGACUCGCGGCUUAUCAGCUUGUUGGUGGGGUAGUGGCUUACCAAGGCUUUGACGGGUAGCCGGCCUGAGAGGGUGACCGGCCACAUUGGGACUGAGAUAGGGCCCAGACUCCUACGGGAGGCAGCAGUGGGGAAUAUUGCACAAGGGGCGGAAGCCUGAUGCAGCAACGCCGCGUGCGGGAUGACGGCCUUCGGGUUGUAAACCGCUUUCGCCUGUGACGAAGCGUGAGUGACGGUAAUGGGUAAAGAAGCACCGGCUAACUACGUG
RNAcentral lists this ribosomal RNA (468 nucleotides) under uncultured bacterium. RNAcentral describes it as "partial 16S ribosomal RNA". It matches the Rfam family "Bacterial small subunit ribosomal RNA", at positions 28 to 507 of the family's 1533-position model. The record is from RNAcentral.